GACGUAGGGUGCGAGCGUUUGUCCGGAUUUAUUGGGCGUAAAGAGCUCGUAGGCGGCUCGUCACGUCGACCGUGAAACCCGCGGCUUAACUGCGGGCUUGCGGUUGAUACGGGCGGGCUAGAGUUCGGUAGGGGAGACUGGAAUUCCUGGUGUAGCGGUGAAAUGCGCAGAUAUCAGGAGGAACACCGGUGGCGAAGGCGGCGCUCUGGGCCGGAACUGACGCUGAUGAGCGAAAGCGUGGGAGCAAACAGG
Molecule: ribosomal RNA, 252 nt
Filed under: uncultured bacterium
Lineage: Bacteria
Description: partial 16S ribosomal RNA
Rfam family: Bacterial small subunit ribosomal RNA
Source: RNAcentral